UACGUAGGUGGCAAGCGUUGUCCGGAUUUAUUGGGUUUAAAGGGUGCGUAGGCGGCCUUAUAAGUCAGUGCUGAAAUAUCCCGGCUUAACCGGGAGGGUGGCAUUGAUACUGUAGGGCUUGAGUGUAGUCGAGGUAGGCGGAAUUGACGGUGUAGCGGUGAAAUGCUUAGAUAUCGUCAAGAACACCGAUAGUGCAGACAGCUUACUAGGCUACAACUGACGCUGAGGCACGAAAGUGUGGGGAUCAAACAGG
Molecule: ribosomal RNA, 253 nt
Filed under: uncultured bacterium
Lineage: Bacteria
Description: partial 16S ribosomal RNA
Rfam family: Bacterial small subunit ribosomal RNA
Source: RNAcentral